This 531-nucleotide long non-coding RNA is filed under the name Cyanistes caeruleus (blue tit). RNAcentral describes it as "lncRNA (ENSCCEG00000002866.1)". The record is from RNAcentral. Lineage: Eukaryota; Metazoa; Chordata; Aves; Passeriformes; Paridae.
UGACUUUUGCUCUUCUUGCUUUAACAGUGAAAUAUGAGAGGCUCAAAAUCAGCUGCAUUGGGGUUGCACCAGGACAAUGACACUGUUAAUUCUAAUCCAUGAUCUGUGAUGCAAAUCAUGAAGCGUUCUGCCUGUGAGUGAAUUCAGCUUUCCCAAUCUCCUCAGCUCCUCAGUAAGGAAAGCAAAACUUGCUGUUGGAUCUCUUGGAGAGUGGGAGAAGACACCCAAAAAGAUGGCAAUAUGUGCAGCUGGAGUGUGAGUAAAGAAUGCAGCCAACAACCUUGAGAGAUCUGCACGUUUACAGCAGGUCCAUGUGUACUGCACCACUCACUCCAGAGACUCAAAAGACAAGUUGGUAUGCCAUCCCCAUAACUUUGCCUUCAAAAACUAUACAGGACUGAAAACAAAGACAUCCAAACCUUGAGCCAUUUAGAAGAAGCCAAAAUCUGUGCCAGAGGUUUGUCUGUUGGGUUUACUCAUGGCUUCAGGUACGCUUCUUUCCCUGGGUUGUUUAGCAUUUCAGAGGCCCUC